GAUUUGAGAGGGCAGAGGAGACAGGGAUGGAGCAGAGCAAGGGAUGGGGCAAACAACAAACUUCAACUGCUUCCUUCCACUGAUCACCUCCUGAUUAUAUGACAAGAGCGAGAGAGUUGUGAGAGAUGAGAGCUUCUGUUAUUGUUGUUGUUGUUGCUCCCUCCCUGCACUGCCUCUUCCCUGUACUCGCUCCGUUCUAAAAUAG
This is a non-coding RNA of Triticum aestivum (bread wheat), 205 nucleotides long. NCBI's taxonomy places the organism in Eukaryota, Viridiplantae, Streptophyta, Magnoliopsida, Poales, Poaceae. The record is from Rfam.